GACGAACGCUGGCGGCGUGCUUAACACAUGCAAGUCGAACGGAAAGGCCCUGCUUUUGUGGGGUGCUCGAGUGGCGAACGGGUGAGUAACACGUGAGUAACCUGCCCUUGACUUUGGGAUAACUUCAGGAAACUGGGGCUAAUACCGGAUAGGAGCUCCUGCUGCAUGGUGGGGGUUGGAAAGUUUCGGCGGUUGGGGAUGGACUCGCGGCUUAUCAGCUUGUUGGUGGGGUAGUGGCUUACCAAGGCUUUGACGGGUAGCCGGCCUGAGAGGGUGACCGGCCACAUUGGGACUGAGAUACGGCCCCGACUCCUACGGGAGGCAGCAGGGGGGAAUAUUGCACAAUGGGCGGAAGCCUGAUGGAGCAACGCCGCGUGCGGGAUGACGGCCUUCGGGUUGUAAACCGCUUUCGCCUGUGACGAAGCGUGAGUGACGGUAAUGGGUAAAGAAGCACCGGCUAACUACGUG
RNAcentral lists this ribosomal RNA (468 nucleotides) under uncultured bacterium. RNAcentral describes it as "partial 16S ribosomal RNA". It matches the Rfam family "Bacterial small subunit ribosomal RNA", at positions 28 to 507 of the family's 1533-position model. The record is from RNAcentral.